UACGUAGGGUGCAAGCGUUGUCCGGAAUUAUUGGGCGUAAAGAGCUCGUAGGCGGUUUGUCGCGUCUGCCGUGAAAGUCCGGGGCUCAACUCCGGAUCUGCGGUGGGUACGGGCAGACUAGAGUGAUGUAGGGGAGACUGGAAUUCCUGGUGUAGCGGUGAAAUGCGCAGAUAUCAGGAGGAACACCGAUGGCGAAGGCAGGUCUCUGGGCCGUAACUGACGCUGAGGAGCGAAAGCAUGGGGAGCGAACAGG
This 253-nucleotide ribosomal RNA is filed under the name uncultured bacterium. RNAcentral's name for it is "partial 16S ribosomal RNA". It matches the Rfam family "Bacterial small subunit ribosomal RNA", at positions 524 to 776 of the family's 1533-position model. The record is from RNAcentral.